RNAcentral lists this ribosomal RNA (311 nucleotides) under Chibchea cf. mapuche Mich17. Its description in RNAcentral is "partial 12S ribosomal RNA". Lineage: Eukaryota; Metazoa; Arthropoda; Arachnida; Araneae; Pholcidae. The record is from RNAcentral.
GGUAGUAAUAAACAAUAAAACCAAUGAAACUUGGCGGUUAUAAAAAAUUAAAGAAACUCGUUUUUUAAUCGACAACCCCCGCUAAUUUUAACUUAAAUUAAAAACCUAUAUACCGCCGUUUCAGGCCUAAAAUAAAACAAACCCUAACACAAAACACCCCUAAAAUCAGGUCAAGGUGUAGUCUAUUCUUAAGAAAAAAUAAGUUACACAUAAAAAAAAUUUAAAAAACUAUGGUUAAAAUUCCCUAAAAAAAUAGAAUUUAAAAACAAAUAAUAAUUAAAAUCUAUAAUUGAAACCAACCUUUAUAACGC